This 3685-nucleotide long non-coding RNA is filed under the name Lathyrus oleraceus (garden pea). RNAcentral's name for it is "Pisum sativum (pea) long non-coding RNA (PSAT_LNC033680)". Lineage: Eukaryota; Viridiplantae; Streptophyta; Magnoliopsida; Fabales; Fabaceae. The record is from RNAcentral.
UUCUCACAAAUAAAUUAAAACAGUAUUUUGUAUGUAAGUUAUUUCGUAACAAUUCUGAAAUAUUGUGAUGAUAGAACUUUCUAACAAAUCUAAAAUCUCAUCCCAAACAAAUAACCAUCCGAUCAACAGUUGAAAUACACUACAACCUAAAACUACUGAUAAACUGUCCUAAAAGUAAAAGUACUAAAACUUAUUAAACAACGGGAAUAAGUAAAAACAAAGCGAUUCCAUUAACUAAUCAAACUCACAAAAGAGAUGAAGACAUUCGAAUCACAUUGCUUGUAGAAUAAUUCUUGCCACAUGAGAGGUGUGUCAAAUCUAACGUAUCUACGUAUAACAAAAAGAACAAAUAAAAAUUAAUAUCUAAGCUUUCUUUGGAGAUUUCCUGGCCUUGGAUGGAGAUUUAGGAGCAGUAGCAGCACUUUGAGUCUUCUUAGGCAAAAGCACAGGGUUAAUGUUAGGAAGAACACCACCAUGAGCAAUGGUAACACCAGCAAGCAAUUUUCCAAGCUCUUCAUCAUUCCUCACAGCCAACAACAAAUGUAGUAACACCAGCAAGCAAUUUUCCAAGCUCUUCAUCAUUCCUCACAGCCAACAACAAAUGUCUUGGACUAAUCCUGUUCUUCUUGUUAUCACGUGCCGCAUUUCCAGCCAACUCAAGAACCUUCACACAAACAAAUUUCAAAAUUAUGGUUCAGUUCAAUUUACAAAAUUCCAACUCAGUAGCAGUUAAAAAAUGAAACUGAGGAUGGAAAAAGGAAUUAAUUUACCUCAGCAGCAAGAUACUCAAGAACAGCGGCUAGGUAAACAGGAGCGCCGGUACCAACACGCUGAGCGUAUCUACCUUUCUUCAAGAAACGGCCGAUUCUUCCGACAGGAAAUUGAAGUCCAGCUCUGACGGAUCUUGUCACCGAUUUCUUCCUUGGUCCUCCUCCUUUCCUUCCUCCCGCACCUUUCUUCACCUUUGUGCUUGCGUCCAUUUUGAAAUUCGAACACUAGAUUCUAGAUGUUGAUUCGAUUUUUUUGUAAGAAAUGCUUAGAAUUGGAGAUGGUGAGAUAAAAUUAUGAUAGGUGUUGGCAAGCUUUAUACUUCUACGGUAACUAUAAGGAUUUUGCUCAGAAAAACAAAUCCAUUAGAAACAUUAUUUCAGAUCUAUGGCUCUUUGUCCCUUACCUGGCGAUCCGUGUCUCCUAAAACUGACCAAUGGGAAUUCAAAACCAAUCAGACGGUCUCACCUUUUUCUUAUUGAAUUUGGCUUUAUGCAAUUUUGUUUUAUUUUUUAUAAAAUUGGAUGAUUCUUUCUUUUUUUUAUAUAUAUAUAUAUAUCAAUUGGAUGACUCUCACAUUUAAAGCAAUUUUACUACUAUAUUCUUUAUCAAAUUUGUUAAUAUAUAUAAUUUUACCAUGAAUUUUGAGUCUUUAAUAAAAUUUUAGAAAAUUACAUUUUUUUCCCGCAACAAAGUUAAAAGUAGCAUAAAUUUUGGAAUUUUUGGUAUAAACAUAUUGUAAUUUUUUUAAUUUCCGAUAGAGACACGGAAGAUUUUAUCGGAAAUUAUAAAAUUACAUUUAUAUUUAUUGGAAAUUGUAAAAUUUCUGAGAAUUAUUACAACAUUUUGGAAAAACAAUCUAAUAAAAUCAGUUUAUGUCAUUAAAAAAAAUGAAUUUCGUUUUACGUAAAGAAAACAUUCACACUUGGUAUACGUUAUACCAAAUUAGUGUAAGUCAGAAUUCUCACUCACAUUUGAUAUACGAUUAUACCAAGUUAGUGUAAGUCAGAAUUCUCACUUUAAAUCAUGUUUGAAAUUGAAUAUGGAUAUCUUUCAAUUUUUCAAACACUCUAAGCGAAUUAUUGAGAAGAAAAGGGGAAAUGAAUUAAGUGGUGAUUAUAAGUCCUCAAAUAAGCUUGCAAAGUUAAAAUGUAAGUUGUCGUCAAUCCUAAUACAAAUGGAAAAAAAUACACACACAGAGAGUAUUUGGUCAUUUUUAAAUAUUAGCUUACCUUAUUCUUAGCUUUAAGAAUAUCAAAGAGAAAUGAAUCUCACUCUUUAUGAUAAUAUGUCACCAUGAGGGAACUUGAAAAGUAUCAUUUGACAUUGCUUCAACUUUCUUUAGUUGUAGUUGUAGAAAAUUUGAAAUAUUUGGCAAUCUUUGUUCACAUGUAUUGAAAGUGUUUGAAAUGAACGAUGUUACAUUUAUUCUUGAGAAGUAUAUUUUUAGAAGGUGGACAAGAGAUGUUCGUUGCGGCAUUAUCCAAGAAUGUAAGAGAAAAGAAAUUGAAGGAGAUCCAAAGCAUCUUCAACACAAAAACAUUGACAAAUUGUCUCUAAAUUCAUUAGAGUGGUGACCAAUGCAUCACCCAACAAUGAACAUCUCGAGUUUGUAGAUGAUAUUGUAGAAAUCACGUGUAAGAAAAUCAUGGAACUUCGCAUACAACCCAAGAAUAAUCCAAGAAUAAUGACACUCAUAAUAGUGAUAAUCUAACAAUUCAAUGUCAUGAUGUUAUGCAAUCAAAGGAAUUCAAGAAACAAUAUCGAGAUGCAACUUACUACAAAAAAAAAAGUACGGUCGAGUAUAUCAGGUAUUUAAGUCGAUGUUUAGAUCAUUGAUUUAGUUUUACAUGUAUUAUCAUUGAUUUUAAUUUUACCUAAUCAUUCUAGGAAAAACAUUAACAAGUCAAAUGAUUGAAUAAGUAUCUUAUUAGGCAUUUCUACCUUAUGAGCCUCCACAAUUACAAGAGGAUAAAUUUAGCUUCACAACAUUUUUUGGUAAUUUAAUUUGUAUUUGAAAAAGAAUUAUCCGUAUAAAUUUUAUCUUGAUGUUAAUUAAAUUUUGUUAUCAUGUAGGCACUCCUAAAUGAAACUGAUAUUGCAACAUUAUCGUGAUUGAAGCUAAUUAAUCACCAAGUCAUACUUUUGUUAUAUCAAUGAUGUUUAGUACAGUGUCUAUUACUUGGUGAAUUGAGAAUUGAGAGUUGAGAAUACAAACAAGUUUCUACAUAAUACAAACAAGUUUCUGCAUGAUACAACUUCCUUCUUAAUACUAGCAUGACAGUUCAAUAAAUAUAAGUAAUUUUCGGUAUGAUCUCAUGAAUGAUUACUACGAAUGAUAUUUCAAGAUAUAAUAACAUUACUAUUCGCAAAAAUAUUGGACGCCGAAUAAUAACAUUACUAAUCAAACUCACAAAAGAGACGAAGACAUUCGAAUUACAUUGCUUGUUAUACAUUGAGUAAUUCUUGCCACAUGAGAGGUGUGCCAAAUCUAACGUAUCCACAAAUAACAAAAAGAACAAAUAAAACCUAAUAUCUAAGCUUUCUUUGGAGAUUUCCUGGCCUUUGAUGGAGACUUGGGAGUUGUAGAAGCACUUUGAGUCUUCUUAGGCAAAAGCACAGGGUUAAUGUUAGGAAGAACACCACCAUGAGCAAUGGUAACACCAGCAAGCAAUUUCCAAGCUCUUCAUCAUUCCUCACAGCCAACAACAAAUGUCUUGGACUAAUCCUGUUCUUCUUGUUAUCACGUGCGCAUUUCCAGCCAAUCAAGAAACCUUCACGCAAACAAAUUUCAAAAUUAGGGUUCAGAUUCAAUUUACAAAGUUCAAACUCUAUAGUAGCAAUGAAAAAAUGAAACUGAAGAUUGAAAGAGGAGUUAAUUUACCUCAGCAGCAAGAUACUCGAGAACAGCGGCUAG